AUAUCAGUCAUGCAUAGCAUAUCAAUAACGGAGGAAAAGUCUGCGGAACUGAACGACCGCUACCUACGCUUAGGAUGUUGAUCUACAGAGCGAGAGUCUAUACAUGACUCUGUGCAUAUCAAUAAGCGGAGGAAAAGAAACUAACAAGGAUUCCCCUAGUAACGGCGAGUGAAGCGGGAAGAGCUCAAAUUUGAAAUCUUAAAAGGUUUUCCUUUUACGAAUUGUAGUUUAAAGAAGUGUUUUCUGUUGAAAUUUUAGUAAAAGUUCUUUGGAAUAGGACAUCAUAGAGGGUGAGAAUCCCGUAUUUGACUAGAAUUUUUUCAACUUUGUGAUACACUUUCAAAGAGUCGGAUUGUUUGGGAAUGCAGUCCAAAAUGGGUGGUAAAUUUCAUCUAAAGCUAAAUAUUGGCGAGAGACCGAUAGCGAACAAGUACCGUGAGGGAAAGAUGAAAAGAACUUUGAAAAGAGAGUUAAAUAGUACGUGAAAUUGUCAAAAGGGAAGCGUUUGGCACCAGUGUUGUUUUUCUAAAAAUCAAUUUAAAAUUUACUUAUGCUAAGUAUUUUUAGACUUAUCAGCUAUAUAUUUAAUUUUUUGUAAUUUUUGAAUGCACUUUUUAGUUAACAAGUCAACAUCAAUUUCUUUUGUUGUAAAAGAAUAAGAGGAAGGUGGCUUGGGAUUCGUUUCAAGUGUUUAUAGCCUUUUAUUUCUGCAAUAGGAGGGAUUGAGGUCUGCAGCAUAGAUCCUUCGGGGCUAGAUGCAUUUUCGCUAAGAGUCAGUAUUAUAUAAACAACUUGUUGAUUAUGUAGUAUGUUGAUUUUUACUCGGGAGUGUUAUUUUACCUACGCUUAGGAUGUUGAUCUACAGAGCGAGAG
Molecule: ribosomal RNA, 873 nt
Filed under: uncultured Neocallimastigales
Lineage: Eukaryota; Fungi; Neocallimastigomycota; Neocallimastigomycetes; Neocallimastigales
Description: partial large subunit ribosomal RNA
Rfam family: Eukaryotic large subunit ribosomal RNA
Source: RNAcentral